Mustela erminea (ermine) is the source of this 676-nucleotide long non-coding RNA. RefSeq lists it as uncharacterized. The record is from RefSeq and is a predicted model, not a curated record. NCBI's taxonomy places the organism in Eukaryota, Metazoa, Chordata, Mammalia, Carnivora, Mustelidae. The transcript is spliced from 4 exons.
UAGCAGGGUAGGGUGUGCCGGGCGGGUGCCCUUCUGCUCUCUUGCCGGCAGUUACGACAGGCCAUUGGAUGUACGACAACGAGGUGGUGCCGGAAGGGCUGACAUCACCCUUCUGCCCGUGUGUGCAUGCGUGUACCCAAGGGGAGGGUGGAGCGGAGUUGCGUGCUGGACCGAGGGCGUUAUCCUGCCAAGGGUGUUAACGAUGAUUUACUUCAAUAAGUGCAUAGCUGUGGAUAUCAGGACAAGGUUAUAACUGAACUAGAGAGGAGAACAUCACCCAGAGCUCUUGGACUUGGAGCUGGAUGCAGGAACUGAUAAGACUCUGAAUUUCCCCUUUUGAGGAGAGAGAUGCUGUGGAAAGAUUGCAUGAAGAGGGAGAGAGACCCUGUUGUUACGAUGUCCCUGUUAUCUGAAGAGAUGACUCCAAUCCCACCUGUCAUCUGACUGCAACCACAUGAGAGGCCCUAGGUGAGACCAGCAGAACUGCCCAUAUGAUCUCAGUCAACCAACAGAAGCACAAGGGUCAUUCCAGUGCCAUCUAUUGAUGAAGCUUAAAAUUCUGCCACCUAGCAAAGGAGAAGCUUUUGCAGGAUCCAAGUCCAUUACCACAAAAUGCAGGGAAAAGAAGAGUGAAUUUAGAAUGGAGAACCAAUAAAUUGAUAAUUUGCACACCUUA